AUUCUUUUGCAGAGGCAAUAUUGUAGCCUAUGAGGCUCAUCCGAGGCGCAAUCAUUGCUGGUUGAAAACUAGGGAAGUCGUGGCCUAAUGGU
This 92-nucleotide small nuclear RNA is filed under the name Carassius auratus (goldfish). RNAcentral describes it as "U4 spliceosomal RNA (ENSCARG00000066801.1)". The stretch from base 1 to 73 matches the Rfam family "U4 spliceosomal RNA". From Rfam's summary of the family: U4 small nuclear RNA (U4 snRNA) is a component of the major U2-dependent spliceosome. The structure of U4 snRNA from yeast and human has been reported. U4 snRNA presents a k-turn RNA motif in the 5p-SL related to recognition of Snu13 protein. The record is from RNAcentral. Lineage: Eukaryota; Metazoa; Chordata; Actinopteri; Cypriniformes; Cyprinidae.